GGAGUUGGUAUCUCAGUGGCAGAGUGCAUGCUCUGUAUGUAUGAUGUACUGGGUUCAAUCCCCAGCUUCUCUCCA
This 75-nucleotide transfer RNA is filed under the name Dallia pectoralis (Alaska blackfish). RNAcentral describes it as "tRNA-Thr". It matches the Rfam family "tRNA". From Rfam's summary of the family: Transfer RNA (tRNA) molecules are approximately 80 nucleotides in length. Lineage: Eukaryota; Metazoa; Chordata; Actinopteri; Esociformes; Umbridae. The record is from RNAcentral.